GCAUUGGUGGUUCAGUGGUAGAAUUCUUGUCUUUCGUACAGGAGACUCAGGGUUCUAUUCCUGGCCAAUGUA
Molecule: transfer RNA, 72 nt
Filed under: Loxodonta africana (African savanna elephant)
Lineage: Eukaryota; Metazoa; Chordata; Mammalia; Proboscidea; Elephantidae
Rfam family: tRNA
About the family: Transfer RNA (tRNA) molecules are approximately 80 nucleotides in length.
Source: Rfam by way of RNAcentral